UACAGAGGGUGCGAGCGUUUAAUCGGAAUUACUGGGCGUAAAGCGCACGUAGGUGGCUUGGCAAGUCUGCUGUGAAAGUCCAGGGCUCAACCCUGGGAUGCCGGUGGAUACUGCUGAACUAGAGUGCGGAAGAGGCGAGUGGAAUUCCCGGUGUAGCGGUGAAAUGCGCAGAUAUCGGGAGGAACACCAAUUGCGAAGGCAGCUCGCUGGGACGUUACUGACGCUGAGACGCGAAAGCGUGGGGAGCAAACAGG
RNAcentral lists this ribosomal RNA (254 nucleotides) under uncultured bacterium. RNAcentral describes it as "partial 16S ribosomal RNA". It matches the Rfam family "Bacterial small subunit ribosomal RNA", at positions 524 to 776 of the family's 1533-position model. The record is from RNAcentral.